RNAcentral lists this ribosomal RNA (481 nucleotides) under uncultured bacterium. Its description in RNAcentral is "partial 16S ribosomal RNA". It matches the Rfam family "Bacterial small subunit ribosomal RNA", at positions 28 to 523 of the family's 1533-position model. The record is from RNAcentral.
GACGAACGCUGGCGGCGUGCUUAACACAUGCAAGUCGAACGGUGAAGGGGAGCUUGCUCCCCGGAUCAGUGGCGAACGGGUGAGUAACACGUGGGCAACCUGCCCCAGACUUCGGGAUAACGCUUCGAAAGAGGUGCUAAUACCGGAUACGAACUCCUUGGGCAUCCUUGGGGUUGGAAAGUUUUUCGGUCUGGGAUGGGCCCGCGGCCUAUCAGCUUGUUGGUGAGGUAACGGCUCACCAAGGCGACGACGGGUAGCCGGCCUGAGAGGGCGACCGGCCACACUGGGACUGAGACACGGCCCAGACUCCUACGGGAGGCAGCAGUGGGGAAUAUUGCGCAAUGGGCGAAAGCCUGACGCAGCAACGCCGCGUGAGGGAUGACGGCCUUCGGGUUGUAAACCUCUUUCAGCAGGGAAGAAGCGAAAGUGACGGUACCUGCAGAAGAAGCACCGGCUAACUACGUGCCAGCAGCCGCGGUAA